GCUGGCGGCAUGCUUAACACAUGCAAGUCGAACGGAAACAGGACGCUAGGAUUCCUUCGGGAUGACUUUGUCGCUGUCGAGUGGCGGACGGGUGAGUAAUGCAUAGGAAUUUGCCUUGAAGUGGGGGAUAGCCCGGAGAAAUCCGGAUUAAUACCGCAUGCGCUCUACGGAGCAAAGCGGGCCUCUUCUUGAAAGCUCGCGCUUUGAGAUAAGCCUAUGUCGGAUUAGCUAGUUGGUAGGGUAAAGGCCUACCAAGGCGACGAUCCGUAGCUGGUUUGAGAGGAUGAUCAGCCACACUGGGACUGAGACACGGCCCAGACUCCUACGGGAGGCAGCAGUGGGGAAUAUUGGACAAUGGGCGCAAGCCUGAUCCAGCAAUGCCGCGUGUGUGAAGAAGGCCUGCGGGUUGUAAAGCACUUUUAUCGGGAAAGAAAACCACAGGGUUAAUACCCCUGUGUCUUGACGGUACCCGAAGAAUAAGCACCGGCUAACUCAGUGCCAGCAGCCGCGGUAAUACUGAGGGUGCAAGCGUUAAUCGGAAUUACUGGGCGUAAAGCGAGUGUAGGCGGCUUCGUAAGUCGGAUGUGAAAGCCCCGGGCUUAACCUGGGAAUUGCAUUCGAUACUGCGCGGCUAGAGUCUGAUAGAGGGAAGUGGAAUUCCAGGUGUAGCGGUGAAAUGCGUAGAUAUCUGGAGG
This 695-nucleotide ribosomal RNA is filed under the name uncultured Gammaproteobacteria bacterium. RNAcentral's name for it is "bacterial SSU rRNA". It matches the Rfam family "Bacterial small subunit ribosomal RNA", at positions 35 to 704 of the family's 1533-position model. The record is from RNAcentral. Lineage: Bacteria; Pseudomonadati; Pseudomonadota; Gammaproteobacteria.